Molecule: ribosomal RNA, 496 nt
Filed under: uncultured bacterium
Lineage: Bacteria
Description: partial 16S ribosomal RNA
Rfam family: Bacterial small subunit ribosomal RNA
Source: RNAcentral
AUGAACGCUGGCGGCGUGCCUAAUACAUGCAAGUCGAGCGAACAGACGAGGAGCUUGCUCCUCUGACGUUAGCGGCGGACGGGUGAGUAACACGUGGAUAACCUACCUAUAAGACUGGGAUAACUUCGGGAAACCGGAGCUAAUGCCGGAUAAUAUAUUGAACCGCAUGGUUCAAUAGUGAAAGACGGUUUUGCUGUCACUUAUAGAUGGAUCCGCGCCGCAUUAGCUAGUUGGUAAGGUAACGGCUUACCAAGGCAACGAUGCGUAGCCGACCUGAGAGGGUGAUCGGCCACACUGGAACUGAGACACGGUCCAGACUCCUACGGGAGGCAGCAGUAGGGAAUCUUCCGCAAUGGGCGAAAGCCUGACGGAGCAACGCCGCGUGAGUGAUGAAGGUCUUCGGAUCGUAAAACUCUGUUAUUAGGGAAGAACAAAUGUGUAAGUAACUAUGCACGUCUUGACGGUACCUAAUCAGAAAGCCACGGCUAACUACGUG